Molecule: long non-coding RNA, 2033 nt
Organism: Cercocebus atys (sooty mangabey)
Lineage: Eukaryota; Metazoa; Chordata; Mammalia; Primates; Cercopithecidae
Exons: 4
Source: RefSeq, a predicted model, not a curated record
UGAAAGAGGAAGAAGGAAGAAAGUCAAAAGGAUGAAAGAACAAAAGGAGCUCCCCAUAGAAAGACAGACUCUUUUGCCAGCACAUUUAAGAAUCUAAACGAGGCCAAGUGCCAGGCAGAUAGAGGGACUCUACUUGCUGCAUAGUAAAUAAAACGGAGGCUGGGGGAAGCCUGCAGCAAGCAAUAGUUUCUGAGGGGACGACAACAAGACUUAAGAGAAUUCAGACCCUGACUUUCCUGCCUUACCAGAAAUGUAUCCUCUCACUGUUCUGAAGAUUAGAAGUCUGAAAUCAAGAUACCAGCAAAGUUGGUUCCUUCUGGCGACUCCGAGUGAGAAUCUGCUCCAUGCUUCUCUGCUGGCUGCUGGUGGUUGCUGACAAUCCUUGGUGUCUCUGGGCAUGCAGGUACAACCCAAGUCACCAGAGCUCAUAAAAGAUGUGUGCACUGUCGCAUCUAUGUGAAGUAUUUCCAUGACCCGAGCAUUGACUACAGGACUGUGCUGGAGGAAGCUGGAUCAAGGUACCAAGAUUCAGGGAUCAUGGCCUGGGGAGAAACACAGCAUUUUGCAGAAGUAAAAAUGUGAACACAGAUACAAUGCUUCAUUUUCCCGAACACACCAUGCAAUACAAAGAUGCUACCCUUCGUCUGCAAUGAUUCUACCUAUUGUUAGUUCACUGCAUCCUCAGAGUCAGUGCACAGGCAGGAGAGGCUGAGAUUAUUUAGAUUCUCAUAAUACAGUAGAUAAUGAGGAAGACAGGCUAGGAUACCAUGGGUGCCACAUUAGUGCCUUCUUUAAGGUUCUGAUACACAAGCAGCCCUGCCCCAGUUGGUUUGUGUUUAAAAGAAGAUCAUUUAUUAAGGUGCUGAUAUACAAACUCUGUCCCACCCAAGUUGGCUUGUGUUUAAAAGAGGAUCCUGACAAGUCUACCUAAAGAAGAUGAAAGAGGUAUUGGGGGCAGGGGACAAUGGACUGGCUAAUGUGCAGAAAUAAACUUUACAGCUCUAGGCCAGGGCCACCAUAAACCUCUUCCACACUGUGCAGCACACAUUAUGAUGGAAACAACACGCCUUGGCUGGUGGCUUUGCUCCGUGUUCCUCAAGGGAGCUUUGGGUUGCAAACCUGCCUGCUCCCUGGCUGUCUCAUCUUUUCCAUGUGAGGACCACAAUUCCUGACCUUUGCAGUGGCUGUAAACUUUGAGACAGGGAGGCAGGAUCUGCAGCUUCCCAGGGGCCUCGGAGGACUCUAGUGGCCCAUGCAGCUCUGUGGACUUGGAAUUUGAGCUCACUGAGGAUGUCACAUACAAAUAAACAAGUGACACAUUGCAUCUUGAACACAUUGCAAGCAACUUUUAAAGGUCAUCUCAUCCAUGCCUCUGUCUCUUCUUUGGAACAGUUCAAAAUUAUUUCAGACUGAAAAUGUCUCCUGUUUUCAAAAAUUACCAAACACAAAUUACAUGAAUGAGUUUGUUUAAACAACUUAGAGGACCCAAAUCAAAAUUUUUCUUAAGUCCAAUUACUCGUGCUUCAGGAACAUAGGAUGUUUCCUCUUGUUCUGCCUUUUGGAAUGGUGAAGGGUAUUUCACUGACAUCUUGAAUCAUUUAGAGGGACUUAGGAUUCAAUUUAAGACAAUAAAUAUUUACUGAGCUUCUAUGUAUCUGAUACUGAAAUGGGGCCGAGAGGGUUACAAAGUUGAUGAUCUGGGCUUCUUUCUCAUCUCAAGAAGCAUAAUUCCCACAUCACUCAUGAUGUAGAGUGUGGUAAAUGCCACCUAGUAAGGUCACAAGGAGAGGGUUUGGAGCCACUGAUGUUACCUGGAAUCAAACAAUUCUAUGGUGGAGACAAAGAUACUCAGGAGAGCACCUGCAUCUCAUCUGGAUCAAAAGGGAUGAACACAACUGUCUGGAUGAGCUGUGGCACAGGUGUUCUGCCAAGAAGAGGAAGCUGGCAGAAGAGGCCUUGGUAAGUCUGAAUUCUUGCCUCACUUUUGGUACUGACUUCUCCCUGCACGUCACAUUCUUACUAUGUACCAUUCA